CCUACGGGAGGCAGCAGUGGGGAAUAUUGCACAAUGGGCGCAAGCCUGAUGCAGCGACGCCGCGUGAGCGAUGAAGGCCUUCGGGUCGUAAAGCUCUGUCCUAAGGGAAGAAUAAUGACGGUACCUGAAUAAGAAGCCCCGGCUAACUACGUGCCAGCAGCCGCGGUAAUACGUAGGGGGCAAGCGUUAUCCGGAAUCACUGGGUGUAAAGGGUGCGUAGGCGGUAGGGCAAGUCAGAUGUGAAAGCCCGGAGCUCAACUUCGGGACUGCAUUUGAAACUGUCUUACUAGAGUGCAGGAGAGGAAAGCGGAAUUCCUAGUGUAGCGGUGAAAUGCGUAGAUAUUAGGAAGAACACCAGUGGCGAAGGCGGCUUUCUGGACUGUAACUGACGCUGAGGCACGAAAGCGUGGGGAGCGAACAGGAUUAGAUACCCCGGUAGUC
RNAcentral lists this ribosomal RNA (441 nucleotides) under uncultured bacterium. RNAcentral's name for it is "bacterial SSU rRNA". It matches the Rfam family "Bacterial small subunit ribosomal RNA", at positions 338 to 795 of the family's 1533-position model. The record is from RNAcentral.